GCUUGUCUCAAGAUUAAGCCAUGCAUGUCUAAGUACAAGCCUCAGUAAGGUGAAACCGCGAAUGGCUCAUUAAAUCACACCUAAUCUACUGGAAAGUUACUAGUUACUUGGAUAACUGAGGUAAUUCUUGAGCUAAUACAUGCGAAAAAUCUCGACUCACGGAAGGGGUGUAUUUAUUAGAUAAAAAACCAACGCCCUUCGGGGCUUCUUGGUGAUUCAUGAUAACUUUACGGAUCGCAUGGCCUUGCGCCGGCGACGGUUCAUUCAAAUUUCUGCCCUAUCAACUUUCGAUGGUAAGGUAUUGGCUUACCAUGGUUUCAACGGGUAACGGGGAAUUAGGGUUCGAUUCCGGAGAGGGAGCCUGAGAAACGGCUACCACAUCCAAGGAAGGCAGCAGG
RNAcentral lists this ribosomal RNA (398 nucleotides) under Plenodomus lingam (blackleg of rapeseed fungus). RNAcentral's name for it is "Leptosphaeria maculans partial small subunit ribosomal RNA". It matches the Rfam family "Eukaryotic small subunit ribosomal RNA", at positions 30 to 432 of the family's 1831-position model. Lineage: Eukaryota; Fungi; Ascomycota; Dothideomycetes; Pleosporales; Leptosphaeriaceae. The record is from RNAcentral.